This 463-nucleotide ribosomal RNA is filed under the name Moraxella sp. canine oral taxon 328. Its description in RNAcentral is "bacterial SSU rRNA". It matches the Rfam family "Bacterial small subunit ribosomal RNA", at positions 9 to 497 of the family's 1533-position model. The record is from RNAcentral. Lineage: Bacteria; Pseudomonadati; Pseudomonadota; Gammaproteobacteria; Moraxellales; Moraxellaceae.
GAGUUUGAUUAUGGCUCAGAUUGAACGCUGGCGGCAGGCUUAACACAUGCAAGUCGAACGAUGAUUACUAGCUUGCUAGUAUGAUUAGUGGCGAACGGGUGAGUAAUGCUUAGGAAUCUGCCUGGUAGUGGGGGACAACUUGGGGAAACUCAAGCUAAUACCGCAUACGACCUACGGGUGAAAGGGGGCGCAAGCUCUCGCUAUCAGAUGAGCCUAAGUCGGAUUAGCUAGUUGGUGGGGUAAAGGCCUACCAAGGCGACGAUCUGUAGCUGGUCUGAGAGGAUGAUCAGCCACACUGGGACUGAGACACGGCCCAGACUCCUACGGGAGGCAGCAGUGGGGAAUAUUGGACAAUGGGCGAAAGCCUGAUCCAGCCAUGCCGCGUGUGUGAAGAAGGCCUUUUGGUUGUAAAGCACUUUAAGUGGGGAGGAAAAGCUUGUGGUUAAUACCCAUAAGCCCUGAC